UGGGGAAUAUUGCACAAUGGGCGCAAGCCUGAUGCAGCCAUGCCGCGUGUGUGAAGAAGGCCUUCGGGUUGUAAAGCACUUUCAGCGAGGAGGAAGGUGGUGAGCUUAAUACGCUCAUCAAUUGACGUUACUCGCAGAAGAAGCACCGGCUAACUCCGUGCCAGCAGCCGCGGUAAUACGGAGGGUGCAAGCGUUAAUCGGAAUUACUGGGCGUAAAGCGCACGCAGGCGGUUUGUUAAGUCAGAUGUGAAAUCCCCGGGCUCAACCUGGGAACUGCAUUUGAAACUGGCAAGCUAGAGUCUCGUAGAGGGGGGUAGAAUUCCAGGUGUAGCGGUGAAAUGCGUAGAGAUCUGGAGGAAUACCGGUGGCGAAGGCGGCCCCCUGGACGAAGACUGACGCUCAGGUGCGAAAGCGUGGGGCAGCAAACAGGAUUAGAUACCCUGGUAGUCCACGCUGUAAACGAUGUCGAUUUUGGAGGUUGUGCCCUGAGGCGUGGCUUCCGGAGCUAACGCGUUAAAUCGACCGCCUGGGGAGUACGGCCGCAAGGUUAAAACUCAAAGGAAUUGACGGGGUCAUAGCUGUUUCCU
This 587-nucleotide ribosomal RNA is filed under the name uncultured bacterium. RNAcentral's name for it is "partial 16S ribosomal RNA". It matches the Rfam family "Bacterial small subunit ribosomal RNA", at positions 355 to 1375 of the family's 1533-position model. The record is from RNAcentral.